RNAcentral lists this microRNA precursor (61 nucleotides) under Ixodes scapularis (black-legged tick). RNAcentral's name for it is "Isc-Mir-22-P2_pre stem-loop". Lineage: Eukaryota; Metazoa; Arthropoda; Arachnida; Ixodida; Ixodidae. The record is from RNAcentral.
AGCCCAUCUUUGGGCUGCUGGCUUGUUGUUUGAGGCGGCAAGCUGCCCAAUGAAGGGCUGG